This 272-nucleotide unclassified non-coding RNA is filed under the name Melitaea cinxia (Glanville fritillary). RNAcentral describes it as "misc RNA ENSMCXG00005001058.1". The record is from RNAcentral. Lineage: Eukaryota; Metazoa; Arthropoda; Insecta; Lepidoptera; Nymphalidae.
AAGGGGGUAAAACGGGGGUUGGAAUUUUGUAUGAAAGUCCUGUAUUUUUGAAGUAAGAGACUUGAAAUUUAAAAUGUAAGCUCUAUAGAUGGUAAAAAGGUGUCCAAACAAUGUAUCUUUAGAAAUCAACUCCUUUUUGGGGUUAAAACGGGGGAUCAUAGGUUGACUCCCUGAUCACGAAAUCUCCGAAAUUAUAACACCUACAAACUUGAAAUUUGGCAAGUAGGUUCCUUAUAAGACGUAGGCAUCCGCUAAGAACAGAUUUUACGAAA